This is a long non-coding RNA of Macrobrachium nipponense, 624 nucleotides long. RefSeq lists it as uncharacterized. The record is from RefSeq and is a predicted model, not a curated record. NCBI's taxonomy places the organism in Eukaryota, Metazoa, Arthropoda, Malacostraca, Decapoda, Palaemonidae. The transcript has 7 exons.
ACCUGUGACAGUUCCAGAUCCCCCUGUACCUGGACCCUCUGUAUCAGCCCGCCCACCUGCACGUGUACAAUCAGACCCCUUUGAUAGUGACAGUGACCCAGAUGACCCUGAGCCUUUCCAUGGUUUUGAUGCCUCGCCCUAUACAUCAGAUGUAGAUGUUCCCUCAUCAGUUGAUACGAGUAUCACCUCUCCAGAGCCCAAAUCAGUUGAUACGAGUAGUAUCACCUCUCCCAUUCCUUCAGACUCCCAAGCACCUGCCCAUCCCACUCCAUAGCCCAGCCACCCACUCUCAUGUACCAUAUGGCCAUCCCAGUAAGCAAGCCAACCACUAGAAUUUGACUGGCAUGCACCUGUGACUUACAUAAACCAGACCUCUACAUAGCCUACAUGUCUUCAUUUUGCUGAAGACUGCCCAUCAUCCUAGCCUGUUAUCUGUGAUAAAGCACACUGAAGUUAGGUUUGGAAUGCAUCCUUAUCAUGAAUGCUCUACACCUCCACCUCCAUCUCCCACAACCUAGGUAACAGCUUUGAGACUCACUAAAAGUUGAACCCCCUGAAUGAUGUAGGCUAUGGGGCCACAUAAGACUUUGUCCAUCCAGGGUUACGUUGAAUGCCAAAUAUAAA